Molecule: ribosomal RNA, 253 nt
Filed under: uncultured bacterium
Lineage: Bacteria
Description: partial 16S ribosomal RNA
Rfam family: Bacterial small subunit ribosomal RNA
Source: RNAcentral
UACGUAGGGUGCAGGCGUUAAUCGGAAUUACUGGGCGUAAAGCGUGCGCAGGCGGUGAUGUAAGACAGGUGUGAAAUCCCCGGGCUUAACCUGGGAACUGCAUUUGUGACUGCAUCGCUGGAGUGCGGCAGAGGGGGAUGGAAUUCCGCGUGUAGCAGUGAAAUGCGUAGAUAUGCGGAGGAACACCGAUGGCGAAGGCAAUCCCCUGGACCUGUACUGACGCUCAUGCACGAAAGCGUGGGGAGCAAACAGG